This 1372-nucleotide ribosomal RNA is filed under the name uncultured bacterium. RNAcentral describes it as "bacterial SSU rRNA". It matches the Rfam family "Bacterial small subunit ribosomal RNA", at positions 28 to 1381 of the family's 1533-position model. The record is from RNAcentral.
GAUGAACGCUGGCGGCGUGCCUAGUACAUGCAAGUCGAGCGAACGGACGAGAAGCUUGCUUUUCUGAUGUUAGCGGCGGACGGGUGAGUAACACGUGGAUAACCUACCUAUAAGACUGGGAUAACUUCGGGAAACCGGAGCUAAUACCGGAUAAUAUUUUGAACCGCAUGGUUCAAAAGUGAAAGACGGUCUUGCUGUCACUUAUAGAUGGAUCCGCGCUGCAUUAGCUAGUUGGUAAGGUAACGGCUUACCAAGGCAACGAUGCAUAGCCGACCUGAGAGGGUGAUCGGCCACACUGGAACUGAGACACGGUCCAGACUCCUACGGGAGGCAGCAGUAGGGAAUCUUCCGCAAUGGGCGAAAGCCUGACGGAGCAACGCCGCGUGAGUGAUGAAGGUCUUCGGAUCGUAAAACUCUGUUAUUAGGGAAGAACAUAUGUGUAAGUAACUGUGCACAUCUUGACGGUACCUAAUCAGAAAGCCACGGCUAACUACGUGCCAGCAGCCGCGGUAAUACGUAGGUGGCAAGCGUUAUCCGGAAUUAUUGGGCGUAAAGCGCGCGUAGGCGGUUUUUUAAGUCUGAUGUGAAAGCCCACGGCUCAACCGUGGAGGGUCAUUGGAAACUGGAAAACUUGAGUGCAGAAGAGGAAAGUGGAAUUCCAUGUGUAGCGGUGAAAUGCGCAGAGAUGUGGAGGAACACCAGUGGCGAAGGCGACUUUCUGGUCUGUAACUGACGCUGAUGUGCGAAAGCGUGGGGAUCAAACAGGAUUAGAUACCCUGGUAGUCCACGCCGUAAACGAUGAGUGCUAAGUGUUAGGGGGUUUCCGCCCCUUAGUGCUGCAGCUAACGCAUUAAGCACUCCGCCUGGGGAGUACGACCGCAAGGUUGAAACUCAAAGGAAUUGACGGGGGCCCGCACAAGCGGUGGAGCAUGUGGUUUAAUUCGAAGCAACGCGAAGAACCUUACCAAAUCUUGACAUCCUUUGACAACUCUAGAGAUAGAGCCUUCCCCUUCGGGGGACAAAGUGACAGGUGGUGCAUGGUUGUCGUCAGCUCGUGUCGUGAGAUGUUGGGUUAAGUCCCGCAACGAGCGCAACCCUUAAGCUUAGUUGCCAUCAUUAAGUUGGGCACUCUAAGUUGACUGCCGGUGACAAACCGGAGGAAGGUGGGGAUGACGUCAAAUCAUCAUGCCCCUUAUGAUUUGGGCUACACACGUGCUACAAUGGACAAUACAAAGGGCAGCGAAACCGCGAGGUCAAGCAAAUCCCAUAAAGUUGUUCUCAGUUCGGAUUGUAGUCUGCAACUCGACUACAUGAAGCUGGAAUCGCUAGUAAUCGUAGAUCAGCAUGCUACGGUGAAUACGUUCCCGGGUCU